UACGAAGGGUGCAAACGUUGCUUGGAAUUAUUGGGCGUAAAGCGCACGUAGGCGGCUUUGCAAGUCGGAUGUGAAAUCCCUCGGCUCAACCAAGGAAGUGCAUCCGAAACUGCAGAGCUUGAGUACCAAAGAGGAUCGCGGAAUUCCCGGUGUAGAGGUGAAAUUCGUAGAUAUCGGGAGGAACACCAGUGGCGAAGGCGGCGAUCUGGGUGGAUACUGACGCUGAGGCGCGAAAGCGUGGGGAGCAAACAGG
Molecule: ribosomal RNA, 253 nt
Filed under: uncultured bacterium
Lineage: Bacteria
Description: partial 16S ribosomal RNA
Rfam family: Bacterial small subunit ribosomal RNA
Source: RNAcentral